Molecule: ribosomal RNA, 272 nt
Filed under: Yersinia pestis subsp. pestis
Lineage: Bacteria; Pseudomonadati; Pseudomonadota; Gammaproteobacteria; Enterobacterales; Yersiniaceae
Description: partial 23S ribosomal RNA
Rfam family: Bacterial large subunit ribosomal RNA
Source: RNAcentral
UCAUGAAAUCGAGUAGGACGGAGCACGAGAAACUUUGUCUGAAUAUGGGGGGACCAUCCUCCAAGGCUAAAUACUCCUGACUGACCGAUAGUGAACCAGUACCGUGAGGGAAAGGCGAAAAGAACCCCGGCGAGGGGAGUGAAAUAGAUCCUGAAACCGUAUGCGUACAAGCAGUGGGAGCCCACUUUGUUGGGUGACUGCGUACCUUUGUAUAAUGGGUCAGCGACUUAUUUCAGUGGCGAGCUUAACCGAAUAGGGAGGCGUAGCGAAAG